RNAcentral lists this ribosomal RNA (253 nucleotides) under uncultured bacterium. Its description in RNAcentral is "partial 16S ribosomal RNA". It matches the Rfam family "Bacterial small subunit ribosomal RNA", at positions 524 to 776 of the family's 1533-position model. The record is from RNAcentral.
UACGUAGGGUGCAAGCGUUAUCCGGAAUUAUUGGGCGUAAAGAGCUCGUAGGCGGUUUGUCGCGUCUGCUGUGAAAACUGGAGGCUCAACCUCCAGCCUGCAGUGGGUACGGGCAGACUAGAGUGCGGUAGGGGAGAUUGGAAUUCCUGGUGUAGCGGUGGAAUGCGCAGAUAUCAGGAGGAACACCGAUGGCGAAGGCAGAUCUCUGGGCCGGUACUGACGCUGAGGAGCGAAAGCGUGGGUAGCAAACAGG